Molecule: long non-coding RNA, 2542 nt
Filed under: Parus major (Great Tit)
Lineage: Eukaryota; Metazoa; Chordata; Aves; Passeriformes; Paridae
Description: lncRNA (ENSPMJG00000006693.1)
Source: RNAcentral
GUGCAUCACUUGUGCUUGGCUUAUUUGGCAUCAGUUCCUUAAUUACCAAGUGGGAAUAAAUAAUAAAUAAUAAUAAAGAAUAAAAACUGAGGCACCACUUAGAAUGUGUUGUCCCAGGAUGAAAAGCUUCUCCCUGAUUCUCUUUUCAUGUGUCCCUAUUCCUGCUAAACCCCAGCAGACAGAAUAAUUCAGCAUGUGGUGUAUCAAUGACCUGUCCUAAUUAUCAUUUACCUCCUCACAGUUUAAUUAAGCUGUUAAUUAAUGUGGCUUUCACUUUUCCCACAUUUCAUGGUCACAGCAGCUUCAUCUGUAAUGGGAUUUACCCCUCUGUAACUAUUUCCAAAAGAAUUCCCUGAGGUGAUUCAAGAAGCCACUUGAAAUAAUUCCAUGAAGAGAAUGGGAUAGCUGUAACAUUUAUUUCUUCCUGUUUGCCAGGCCAAAAGGAGCUGGGAAAAGAAAGGAAGAAUGCAAACAGGUAUUCAGGAGUGUUGCUUUUCAUGUCAGGAUAUUCUCUGCCACUAGCCCACCAGGACAGCUGGUGACAUGACUUCACUGGGGAUGUUCCAGAGCCAUCUGGACACAUUCCUGUGCUCUGAGAUGACCCACUGUGGUCCAUUUCAGCCUGAACCAUCCUGGGAUUCUGUGAAACUGAAGCCAGCCAAGGACUGGAGGAGAGCUACCAUUCCUUUGAAAUUCCAUCAUCUUAGUCCUGGCUUGGGGGAUUGCUGGACUGCAACAGGUAAGGGUGACCAGAGCUACCUGCAAAGCUGCUGUGGGAUAAUGGCUUUUAUUUGAGCUGGAAACUGUUGGAUCUGUUCCCAGCAGCAGCCAUAGGGAUGGCCUGGAGGAAGCAGCUGAAAGCAAACAAACAUUGGGUUUUUACUGUUUCUGAGAACUGUCUGGGUCACCUCCUUAUCUGUGAUUUGUAUUUCUCAGUAAUAGGCUGCUCAGCUCUCGGGAUGAGAGGACUCACCGCCUUGGAAUUACAGCUGGGAAAUGCUUUUGGAAAAACAGAAGAUGUGCUGGAGGAAGAUAGUGUUGUCUCUCUGGCCUGGCAGGUCACAGCUGGAAUUAACCAUGAGGUAUUUAACACUGAAGUGGAAGGAAAGGAUGAAACACUAGGGAGAGGAACUGCUUGGAAACUGGUAAACCCAAUGUCCCUUUUAAACAGGGAAGAUGAAGGAUUUGCUUGGUGUAAGGUCACCCUACCUACAAGAUCCUUGUCUUUCUUUCCCCCAGCUGGGAUAAAGAAAGCCAGGGCUCCAGGUAUCCCACCUGAAAUGUAACAUCAAGGGGAGAUGCAACAGGCAGGUGGCUGUGGGUGAAACAGUCCUCCCAAAUACACCUUCCACUGCUUCCAUUGUGGCUGCUGUGGUCAGGCUGACUCUGAGAAACCACAGCAGCAGCUAGAGAAUACCAGAAUGAAUCCCAGAAUGGUUUUUGUUGGAGACCUUAAAGCCCAUCCAGUUCCACCCCCUGCCAUGGGCAGAGACACUUUCCAGUAUCCCAGGUUGCUCCAAGCCCCAUCCAACCUGGCCUUGGACACUUCCAGGGAUGAGACAGCCCCAGCUUCUCUGGGCAACCUGUGCCAGGACCUCACCACCCUCACAGGGAAGGAUUUCUUCCUAAUACAUAACCUUAAUGUGCCCUCUGUCAGUUUAAAGACUCAUGGAAUCCCAGAAUCAUUGAGGCUGGAAAAGCCCUCCAAGGCCAUUGAGUCCAACCUGUGCCCAAUCCCCAUCUUGUCACCCAGCCCAGUGCCACAUCCAGGCCUUCCUUGAACACCUCCAGGGAUGGGGACUCCAAACCUCCCUGAGGAGCCCCUUCUGAUGCUUGACAACCCUUUCCAUGAUGAAAUUCCUCCUGAACCUUCCCUGGCACAACUUGAGGUUGUUUCCUCUUGUCCUGUUGCUUGUUGCCUGGGAAAAGUUGCCGAUACCUGCCUGGCUCCUGUUUUAGAGUGAGGAGGUUUCCCCUGAGCCUCCUCUCCUCAGGAUACAGAGCUGAACUCCUCCCCACAGCCACUCUAAUCCCUUCAGCUGCCCAAUGGCCAGCAGAUGGCCAUUUCUCCCACUGAAAGAAUGCUGAUAGCUGCUCUCUAGGUACACCCUUUAGCUCACCAUGGUGGCCAUGCUGCCUUGAUUGCACUGUUAGUAUUCAGCCUAAUCAACAUCAAAUGGGGUCCUGCUUUCAGAAAAGAUUUUUCUGUACCAUGAUAGUAGGAAUCGUCUCAGAAACAUUCCUGGGAAGGGGUUGUUUUUCUCCCAGAUGAGAAUGGGGACAGAGAAUAGCACUCUAGAGCCAAUAUCUGAAUCAACCUCAACCCUUUGUGGGGUUUGGAAGGCCUUCUUUAAAGUGCUGGUCAGCAUCACUGGAUGGAUAGAACAAAAUUUAUGCUGCUCCCCAGGUUAGUAUUGCACUUGCUGGGAUGUGUUCCCUUUCCCCUAGCUAGAAAAUUUAUUCUAGACCUGAAGACAACCUCUUCCCCAAUGUGGGUAAAUUCCUUUGUAAUAAAAACACAUGUUAUUUUUCUGAGAAAACA